AAAUCCUUCUCUCCUUUUCUAGCAAUUCUACUAAUUUCCUGAUGCACCGUUUUAUUUGUGACAGAGCGGAGAAUAACUGUGGUACUCCACAACAUACUGAAUGGGAAAGUAGCAUAAGAACACGGAAACAAAGAGCCUUUUCAUGCUGCAAGGGAGAGUAUUCCCAUUGGCACAGAGAACCUUCACUGCUGGGACUGCUAAACUGCAAAUCUGUGAAAAGAAAGAUUUCUAUGUUCAGAAAUACUGGAUAUAUUUAAAAUAGUGUCAUUUUAGUGUGUAUGCAUGCCUGUGUGUGUAGACACACAAUUUGCUGAUGUAUGUAAGUAUGUAUUUCUUUAUUUUAAGAUUCUAUUUAUUUAUUUGACAGAGAGAGAGAGAGAGAGGGCACAAGCAGGGGGAGCAGCAGAGGGAGAGGGAGAAGCAGGCUCCCCAUUGAGCAGGGGGCCCAAUGCGGGGCUCCAUCAGGAUCAUGACCUGAGCCGAAGCCAGAUGCUUAACCUGCUGUGCUACCCAGGCCCCUCUGGCUUAUGUAUUUAUAUGCAUGUUUUUCAGGAAUUUCUUUCGGGUUCAAAUGUCCUUGGCUGGAAGGAGACCCACACAGACACGUUUGGGAGAAAUCUGAUAAUGGCUGAAGAGUUUGGGACAAACCUGAGGCACACGUGGGGCUUAAUGUUCCCGUUGUGUUUGUUCAGGUAUGAUUGGGAAACUUUGCGUUAGUGGAAAACUUUCCCCUGGGAAGUACUGACCAUCCCUGAACAAUGUGAGAAAGUUUAUGAGGAGAACAUCUUCCUGGGAUCCCUUUUUAAAGACCCAAAGAAUGUGUCAGCGAGAGGUGGCAGUGAGGGCCUCCUCCCCACUGUGUGUGGCCAGUUCUCCCAAAGAAGAAACCUCCUCUUACCCCGCACCCCUCUCACUCCACCCAGUUGCUUCUGCAGCUCUUCUAAGCACGGUUACUUGCUCAGCCUGGCAGCAGUUGCCAUUCGCUUCUAUUUUCCUCUGUUUCCCUUCCUGCUUUUGUCCUGUUUGUUAACUGCGCUUCAACCAGGUGUCUCCCCACCAGCACCCUUUGUUUCCUGACUGGACUUUGAAAGGAGGCCACCCUCUUGCCCUGCUUUGGUGGAACAAAACAGACAAAAUAUGCAGAUUCUUAACUCAAGUAAGUAGAAUUAACCAGUAACUAACCCCCUCAUCCCUUCUUCCUGCAUCCCCCUCAUUUUAAUAGGAUUUUUUAUUAUUGAGGUCUGGUAAGGCCAACAGAUUAAGAUACAGUUGCCAUUGAAAAGACAGUCUAUUAUAUGCAGAUUCCAAGGGAGGGAAUACAUGUCAUGCCAUUGGGGGCCACACAGGGAAGCACCAGGGUUAGGAGGCAGAGGGAAGGAGGAGAACUAUGGGUAAAAGCCUUUAUCAUGGUUUCCACAAGAAGGAACAGGCAAGGCAGGGAAAGCAGGAUUGGCUACUUUGAAUAAUUUCAGUGGACUUUGGAGCAUAGGAGCCGUCCUUAGCUCUCUCACGUCUGGCCCUGUGGUGAGUAGGCUGGUGUGUACAGUUGCCCAGAGUGAGAGCCUGAUGAGGGAGGUGAUAGUGGGUGUAGCCUCUGAAUUGGUUGGUUUGUAUUUGAAAAGCACACCUCUGGGAGGAGGACUCCUCUUGAGGGGUAGGGGAGCACAGAAAGACAAGACAAGGGAACUCAGCCCCAUUGUCAUGUUGUCUGGGACAA
Molecule: long non-coding RNA, 1717 nt
Organism: Vulpes vulpes (red fox)
Lineage: Eukaryota; Metazoa; Chordata; Mammalia; Carnivora; Canidae
Source: Ensembl